Non-coding RNA from Paramuricea clavata, 297 nucleotides. NCBI's taxonomy places the organism in Eukaryota, Metazoa, Cnidaria, Anthozoa, Malacalcyonacea, Plexauridae. The record is from the annotation of a GenBank genome assembly.
CUGCAACUAGAUUAUUGCCGUGGAAAUGCUGUACCGAAUAGUGGAGAGCGCCGGAAAAGAGCAUUAGAUUCCCGAGAUGAUGAUAUUGAUGAUCAGGACGUUAUUCCGCCGUACAACCCGCCCGUACGUAAUAUUACUUCUCUCUCAUGGCCAACGCCCAGUGGAUUGACAGAAGAAAACGUCACGGAGAUAUGCAAUAGAAGAAUAAGGUAUUCGAAGAGCGGUGAAAGUUGUGGUGCUGUUGCUGGUGUGGAUUUGGAUGCUCUUGUUGGUCAAUGCAUCUCUGAUAUUCAGGUA